UAUUCAUCUGACUGUGCCAGGUCUUAGUUGGGGCACGUGGGAUCUAGUUCCCUGGCCAGGGGUUGAACCUAGGCCCCCUGCACUGGGAGCAUAGAGCCUUAGCUACUGGAUCACCAGGGAAGUCCCUGUAUUCUCUUAAUCUUUAUUACCCAAAGAUCCAGGUACAAUGGAGUUUGGGAAGGGAGUGUUGAGCUUUUAUAUCUUCUACAGAGGAGAUGGCAAAUGGAGACAGGNNNNNNNNNNNNNNAUAACUCAGUCAAAUAAUGUCAGACAUACUAUUCCUGAAAGACCAUUCCUUCCAACAGCUAUCACAGUCAUAUGAGUACACCACAUACUCUUAUCUAUUCCAUUUUUGAUGGAUGUUUUUUUAUUUUUGCUAUUGCAAACAAUGGUGCAGUGAAUAUUCUUGCAUUUGUCUUCUAAUUUUGUAAAAUCUUUAUCAUCUUCAUCAAACACAAAAAUUGUUGUUUUGAUUGCUAAAUCAUGUCCAACUCUCUGUGAGCACAUGGACUGUAGCCCUCCAGGCUCCCUUGUCCAUAGGAUUUCCUGGGCAAGAAUACUGGAGGGGGUUGCCAUUUCUUUCUCCAGGGGAUCUUCCUGACCCACGGAUCGAACCCAUACCUCUUGCACUGGCAAGAGGAUUCUUUACUACACGGCCGCCAGGGAAGCCCCUCCCCUCCACAAAAACUGGCUCUAAUGAAUAAUAUAUUUUUGCUUAGCAAGGAUUUUGAAACAAAAAGUUCAAUAUUUACCUCUAACAUCACUUUCCUGAGGUAUAAACUUGAAGUGAAUUUAUGAGUUUCUCCUUGGGGUAACAGGAGUUUCUGGGAGUAGAAAGCCAGUAAACAUAUGAACAAUUUCCUGCUACACAUAAAUCAAUAAAGUCUAAGUGUAUAAAGACCAUAAUUUGAAUUAGUUCAUAAGCAAAAACUAGGAUCUAUCAAAAGGAAGCAAAACGAAUCAGAAAUCUCAGCACAGAACACAUGGGAUGAAAGCAACACUGGGAAAAGAAAAAAAGAAAGCAACACUGCAACACAGAAGAGCACAGGUCGGUUCAGGGCCCAGACGAACAAGACCAACCACACUGGUUACAGGCCAUCCCCAGUUCCCUUCAGAAGAGGAACAGGAGGUUUCUAUUUUUGUCAGUGGAGAUUCUUUACAUUGCAAGUGAAGAAAAAUUCAAGAGAAACUGAUUUCAUUGAAAAGGGGAACUGAAGAGACCAUUGGUGGGUCCAGGGAUAAUCAUAACAUUAUUCAAAGCUUGAUGCAACAACUAAUACUCAACACAGCCAAAAAUAAAUAAGUAUAUUUUUAAAAAACCCACGAAGCUCAAAUNNNNNNNNNNNNNNNNNNNNNNNNNNNNNNNNNNNNNNNNNNNNNNNNNNNNNNNNNNNNNNNNNNNNNNNNNNNNNNNNNNNNNNNNNNNNNNNNNNNUCAAAGCUUGAUGCAACAACUAAUACUCAACACAGCCAAAAAUAAAUAAAUAUAUUUUUAAAAAACCCACGAAGCUCAAAUACUGCCACCAGACCUAGCUCUCAGAUCUUCUUCCUCUUAGGGUUAAACUUCAUUUUCAGAUUGGUUCCCGUUCAAUCCCUGGUCGGGGAACUAAGAUCCCACUGGUCAAGAAGCAAUGGAACCUGGGUGCUGCAACUAGAGAGUCUGUGUGCCACAACAAAGGUCUUGCAAAGACGGAAUAAAGAUUCCGAGUUCCGCAACUCAGACCUGACGCAGCCAAAUAAAUAAAUAUUUCAAAAAAAGUAUUGGAAGAUAUUUCAUUGUUAUUGUUUACAAUAGUUUAUUGCAGUAAGUAAGCAGAGUAAGUUAUGUUAUUCUUAUUACAAAGCCAGUCUCAGUCAUUUUCUAUGAGUUCUUUGACUUUGCCACCUCAUUUUUCAUAAAGUUCUUUCAAGAAUAAUUACACAAUAGAAGUUCUUCCCACCACUUGGCACCACUUACCUGAUUAAUCAGUGCUCUGCUCUGCCUCCAGAGAGGACACUGAUGUCCAGAUGCCCACUGCACAUGAAUCUUUGGAUUAGACUUUCAUUCUGCUAGACGUUUCUGCUCCCAGGUGUUGAGUCAAUGCUGGUUCACAAACCUGUUUGUUCCAGUUGUUCUGGUUUAAUUAAAUAUUGCAUAACAUGAUGAAAUGUGAGUGGAAGAAAAAUAAAGUUCCCUCUAUUAAAAAUUAAAUGGAAAGCUUUAUUAAUAACGAAGGCAAAUCCGUUUUUAAAAACUGUUGUGAAUUAGGUGUGGGUGAGAGAGACAACUGGAAAAGGUGGAUGGCGAGUUGUGUAAGUUAUAACACCCAGCAGAAUUCUGCAUCAAGAACACUCUGUACCAGUUUUGAAAGUCUUGUUCCACUUUAAGGAAGUAAAAACUGAAAGUCAUAGGUGAUACACUAUUGAUGUGGCUUCUGGCAGAAGGAAGGGUGCUGAACCCCAAACAGUAGACUCAUAUUCAAAGUAAAGGUCUCAGCCCUACAUCAAAAGACUGGCAAAUGAAUAUAUGGGAGUGUAAGUUAAAAUGUUUAAAGUACAUAUGUGUGUGUGUGGCGAAAGCUACAAAUCAAGCAGAGGAGUCGAUGAGCAAGAGAAAUGGAACUGAAUUAGUAACUAGCAGGUAAGAAGUAGAUGGUUCAGGAAAGUAAAGAGGAUGGAGCUCAGAUUAUAGGAAAGUAAGGUGAAAAAAUAAACCCACUGAGAAAAUUUAAUCAAGAAGUUUGACAGAAAUAAAUCACUACUAACAAUGAUAAGAACUAGCAUUUAUUGAGUGCUUAUUGUAUACAGGUACUAUCCUGGCAUUUUCUAUGCACUAUUUUUUUUUUUACAACAAUUUAGGAGAUAGUACUAAGUAACUUGUGCCAGAUUAAACCACAAGAAUGUGAAACUGAUUUUUCUGGUAAAGCACAUGCUGGAGGGGAAAAGCUCAGGAUUUUUCUGAUGAGAGGAUAUUCCAGAAAUAAAAAUAAAAGGAUUCAAUCCAAAGCAAAUUAUAAGUAUUAAGUGUUCUUGCUGGUUGACCAAUAUUCGUUAAAAAAUACAAGCUUCCUGGACUUGCCUGGUGGCGCUGUGGAUAGGAAUCCACCUGCCAACACAGGGGACGUGGGUUCCACCCCUGUGCUGGGAAGAUGCCGAAUGCUGUGCAGCAACUAAGACCAUGCACCACAACUGCUGAGCCCAAGCUUAGAGGUCGAGAGCCGCAACUACUGAGCCCACACACCGCAACUCCUGAAGCCCGUGUGUGAGAGCCUGUGCUCCACAACAAGGCGAAGCCACCAAGAGCAGCCCGUGCACUGCAAUCAAGAGUAGGCCCUGCUCAUGCAACUAGAGAAAGCCUGUGUGCAGCAGCAAAGACCCAGUGCAACCAGAAAUAAAGAAACUAAUAAAAUAAAAAAAGGAUAGACAAGAAGGUCCUGCUGUAUAGCACAGGGAACUAUAUUCAAUAUCCUGUGAUAAA
RNAcentral lists this long non-coding RNA (3456 nucleotides) under Capra hircus (goat). RNAcentral describes it as "lncRNA (ENSCHIG00010022371.1)". Lineage: Eukaryota; Metazoa; Chordata; Mammalia; Artiodactyla; Bovidae. The record is from RNAcentral.